AACCUAGCACACCUGCGGUGUGUACCUGCGGAGGGAUCAUUACACAUAUUACGGGGGGUCGGUCACCCAGAGCGUCGCCUCUUAGCACCUCUGGGCCCUGCCCUGUCUGAAUAUUCUACCCAUGUCUUUUGCGCACUCUUCGUUUCCUCGGUGGGCUUGCCUGCCGAUAGGACACUAUAAAACCUUUUUGUAAUUGCAAUCAGCGUCAGAAAAACUUUUAAUAGUUACAACUUUCAGCAA
This 240-nucleotide unclassified non-coding RNA is filed under the name soil metagenome. RNAcentral's name for it is "partial contains 5.8S ribosomal RNA, internal transcribed spacer 2, and large subunit ribosomal RNA". The record is from RNAcentral.